Molecule: transfer RNA, 72 nt
Filed under: Marmota marmota marmota (Alpine marmot)
Lineage: Eukaryota; Metazoa; Chordata; Mammalia; Rodentia; Sciuridae
Also listed under: 2 other names
Rfam family: tRNA
About the family: Transfer RNA (tRNA) molecules are approximately 80 nucleotides in length. Their secondary structure includes four short double-helical elements and three loops (D, anti-codon, and T loops). Further hydrogen bonds mediate the characteristic L-shaped molecular structure. tRNAs have two regions of fundamental functional importance: the anti-codon, which is responsible for specific mRNA codon recognition, and the 3' end, to which the tRNAs corresponding amino acid is attached (by aminoacyl-tRNA synthetases). tRNAs cope with the degeneracy of the genetic code in two manners: having more than one tRNA (with a specific anti-codon) for a particular amino acid; and 'wobble' base-pairing, i.e. permitting non-standard base-pairing at the 3rd anti-codon position.
Source: Rfam by way of RNAcentral
UGGGUUGUAGCUCAGUGGUAGAGCACUUGCUUAGCAUGUGUGAGGCACUAGGUUCGAUUCUCAGCACCACAU